AGCAGCCGCGGUAAUUCCAGCUCCAAUAGCGUAUAUUAAAGUUGUUGCAGUUAAAAGCUCGUAGUUGAAUUUCGGGGUCAGCAGGUCGGUCGUGCCACUGGUAUGUACUGGCUUUGCUGAUUCCUCCCUCUUGACGAACCGUAAUGCCAUUAAUUUGGUGUUGCGGGAAAUCAGGACUGUUACUUUGAAAAAUUAGAGUGUUUAAAGCAGGCUUACGCUUGAAUACAUUAGCAUGGAAUAAUGAAAUAGGACGUUCGAUCCUAUUUUGUUGGUUUCUAGGAUUGACGUAAUGAUUAAUAGGGAUAGUUGGGGGCAUUAGUAUUCAAUUGUCAGAGGUGAAAUUCUUGGAUUUAUUGAAGACUAACUACUGCGAAAGCAUUUGCCAAGGAUGUUUUCAUUAAUCAAGAACGAAAGUUAGGGAUCGAAGACGAUCAGAUACCGUCGUAGUCU
This 450-nucleotide ribosomal RNA is filed under the name uncultured Glomeromycotina. RNAcentral describes it as "SSU rRNA". It matches the Rfam family "Eukaryotic small subunit ribosomal RNA", at positions 569 to 1026 of the family's 1831-position model. Lineage: Eukaryota; Fungi; Glomeromycota. The record is from RNAcentral.